AGUGAACGCUGGCGGUAGGCCUAACACAUGCAAGUCGAACGGCAGCACAGUAAGAGCUUGCUCUUACGGGUGGCGAGUGGCGGACGGGUGAGGAAUACAUCGGAAUCUACUUUUUCGUGGGGGAUAACGUAGGGAAACUUACGCUAAUACCGCAUACGACCUACGGGUGAAAGCAAGGGAUCUUCGGACCUUGCGCGUUUGAAUGAGCCGAUGUCGUAUUAGCUAGUUGGCGGGGUAAAGGCCCACCAAGGCGACGAUCCGUAGCUGGUCUGAGAGGAUGAUCAGCCACACUGGAACUGAGACACGGUCCAGACUCCUACGGGAGGCAGCAGUGGGGAAUAUUGGGCAAUGGGCGCAAGCCUGAUCCAGCCAUACCGCGUGGGUGAAGAAGGCCUUCGGGUUGUAAAGCCCUUUUGUUGGGAAAGAAAAGCAGCAGGUUAAUACCCCGCUGUUCUGACGGUACCCAAAGAAUAAGCACCGGCUAACUUCGUG
This 492-nucleotide ribosomal RNA is filed under the name uncultured bacterium. RNAcentral describes it as "partial 16S ribosomal RNA". It matches the Rfam family "Bacterial small subunit ribosomal RNA", at positions 29 to 507 of the family's 1533-position model. The record is from RNAcentral.